CGCGUAGGCGGUAUGUCAAGUCAGGGGUGAAAGGCCUGGGCUCAACCUAGGAACUGCCUUUGAAACUGACAAACUAGAGUCCGAAAGAGGAUGGCGGAAUUCCCAGUGUAGAGGUGAAAUUCGUAGAUAUUGGGAAGAACACCAGUGGCGAAGGCGGCCAUCCGGAUCGGCACUGACGCUGAGGCGCGAAAGCGGUGGGGAGCAAACA
This 208-nucleotide ribosomal RNA is filed under the name uncultured bacterium. Its description in RNAcentral is "partial 16S ribosomal RNA". It matches the Rfam family "Bacterial small subunit ribosomal RNA", at positions 568 to 774 of the family's 1533-position model. The record is from RNAcentral.